GGUCGAGUGGCGCAAUGUAAGCAUCCCACAGCUCUGAUUCAACCCCCACAGAUUCACUAACCUUGCAAAAAGGGUAGCGUGUGGUCCUCCUACUUGAAGGAUCCAAGACUGAGGUUGUGGGUUCGAGUCCCAUCUCGAUCG
Non-coding RNA from Echria macrotheca, 141 nucleotides. NCBI's taxonomy places the organism in Eukaryota, Fungi, Ascomycota, Sordariomycetes, Sordariales, Schizotheciaceae. The record is from the annotation of a GenBank genome assembly.